Long non-coding RNA from Halichondria panicea, 1303 nucleotides. RefSeq lists it as uncharacterized. The transcript is spliced from 3 exons. The record is from RefSeq and is a predicted model, not a curated record. NCBI's taxonomy places the organism in Eukaryota, Metazoa, Porifera, Demospongiae, Suberitida, Halichondriidae.
UGUGCAACAGUGAACUCCUGCAAUUGUAUCAACUAUUUUAGCAAUAAUAAUAAUUAUAUGCAAAUAAACUUUAAGCAUCCUACAUUACUUUUAGAGCUAGAUGUACACCAGUCCAUACACCAUUGCUAGUAAGUCUACUUGACUUACAGUGCAGUUGCAGUAGAGGAAACAGCAAUGACAGUAAUAUACUAUUCAGUGGGCUCUCGAGACCAUUGCAACACUCUGCAGCUGCAUGCUGUGACGUAGCAAGAUUUACGGAGAUGGAAACAUAGAUUACGGAUUUUAGGGAGAGAUUUUAAGAGAUUUUGCGAGAUUUUAAGAUUUUAAGAUGAUUUUGCGAGAUUUUAAGAUUUUAAGGAGAUUUUGCGAGAUUUUAAGAUUUUAAGAUGAUUUUUCGAGAUUUUAAGAUUUUAAGGAGAUUUUGCCCACAGGCGUACAAGAUUUUAAGGAGUGGCGGACCCCUCGCUUGUGUAUCUACACGAACUCCUAGCUAGCUGUGAUCAGAAUGAAGAGAUGCUGUAGUCUCUGGAUUAUUAUCAAUGGUCUCCUCGUCAUGUCUUCUUGCAAACAACUGUCGAUACGCUUCCUCCACCUGUGUGUGUGAGGGAUCUGGGCAACAUGGAAUGAUGGAUCCUUGGCUGAUGUGAUGGUCUCCAACAGGUGACACGACACUGGACAGUAUGAGAACAUGGAACUGGACAAGGGGGUGUGGCAAUGGGGGUGUGCUGCUCUAAACUAUAACAUUUGUGGACUCUGUCAAGAGCUGCUUUAAGGAAAAGAUGUAGCUCUAUGGAAUGUGAGUCCCUCCCAGAGUUCAUAGUCCACCACACAAUGGAAGAGCUGUGUAUGCCUUGUUGACUGGUGCUCCCCCGAGACUCCGCCCCUUCCCCUGCCCAGCCCAUCCCUCGGAGGAGACCAGCUGGUGUACAACAAGCACUGGAGCAGGUGGGUGGGGUUUGCAGUGUAGGAAGAUUCCUAAGAACUGCUAUAUUAUGUUACGUAGGUAGAGUACGUACGUUCAAAGUUUGUUAGAGAAUCAUCUUAUUUGAAGCAUGUCUGUAGUUUUUGGUUGGGUCAAAAUGAUCAGUUUGCACAUUUAAAAAUUAAAGUUCAUUGAAGGACCUUCUAUAUUGUUUAAAAAAUAUUCACAAUAGCUUCAUGUAAUGGUGAAAAAACUUCAGAGAGGUCAGGGUUCACCCGUUACCCCAUUACCUUAUUACCGUACGUGCAUGUAGGUAGCUAUACAUGAACUUGAACAAGCUAUCACAAUUAUACACAGGUGUCAAUAUUAGUAAAACAUUCC